ACUAUUAUUUUUUCUAUUGAUUUAUAUUUUGAAUUUUAAAUUGUAAAAUCAAAAGCACUUUCUCAAUUGAGUUGCUAAAUCCCUAACCCCAUUAUGUCUCGUUCCCAAAGACGACGAUUCAAUGUUUGAACCCAAUUGAUCAUGUGAACACUCAGAACAAAAUCCAAACAAAAUCAAAUCUGUCUAAACUUUCCCAAUUAUGUUCAUUCUCCACCGUUUAAUUCUUUGUCCCUUUCGUCGGACUCCAUCAAAACCAAAACCUUUAAUCAUCUUCUUUGUCUAAAGCACUUCGUUUCUCGCCAGCUCGUGCUCCGUAAGAUUACAGUUCUUCGCAUCACAGUCGCUCAUCUAUCGCCGACGGGAUGAGCUCAGACCAGAUUGAAGUUCUUAAUCUUGCCAUAAGGUAUGGUUUCAUAAGUCAAGGCUUUAAUCUAUAGGAUUUGAUAUUUCCGUCUUUAAUUCCUCUAUGGAUGGUUGGCAGUGUGGUCGUGAGAUUUUUUGUCUAUAUGAUUUGAGAUCUGAGUCUUUUAAAUCCAUGUGUGUUUCAUUCUUGAAGUAUAAUUAGUGAUUUGGACAAAAUGUACAUGUGUGUUCCAUUAUAUAGGUGAAGCUGCAGUGGUUUGAGCUUGGUAUCACCAUGGAUGAAAGCUUGAUCAGAUCUGCAAUAAGAAUGAUGAAUUUACAUAUUUGGUCCUUAUAUUUAUGUAAGUAUUUGUUUUCACCCUUAAUUUUUAAAUAGUGGACAAGUAUGGACGUGGUCUAUGAACUAGACAUGGAUCGACCAGAUUGAAACAUGGUCGAAUGAUAAACCAUAUUUAGUAUGCUGUCCAUAAGUACUUGGUCUGUCCGACCUAAGUAAAGGAGUUUGAUAAGUAGACAGUCACGUCUAGACUAUGGACAGAUGCAAACACGUUUUGCAAAGACCAACAUGUGAUUCCCGAGGACAAUGUGGUUCACAUUGCUUAGCACACAUGCUUUAAACGGGACACUCAAUGUCAAAGGACAUGAGAAACGACCUAAGAGGUCUAAGUGGUCUUAAUUACAGUGCAGUAAUGAAACUGGCCGAUUACUCCCUUCCUACACAGACAGGAUAGAUCACGCAUCAAGAUGCGUAGUAUGUAGAACCUACACCGAGGUUCACAUCAGGGGGAGUAGUGCGUGUUGUACUCUUUUUCCUUCAUCAUGGUUUUGUCCCACUGGGUUUUCCUGAUAAGGUUUUAAUGAGGCAACAUUAAGCGUACUACAAAUCCUAUAUGCGCCAGUUGAAGGAUCUUCAGUGAUCCCUUCAUCAGGGAGAGUGUCAUGUGUUGUACUCUUUUUCCUGUCUACGGUUUCCAUUUUUCCCACCUUAGGUUUUUGGUUUUCCUAGAAAGGUUUUAAUGAGGCAAUAUCGUGCAUGAUACAAAUCCAUAUGGUUAUGGCAUCCAAGGGGGAGUGUUAUGAACAUUGUGGAUUGUCAUUAACCAAGACAAGAAGAGAUGGCCCAUCAGACCACGACCAGGCCCAACCACAGUCGUGUCCAAGAGGAGAGAGAGUCGGCCUAUCCUUUGGCCGACAUUAGAUAUAGGAUGAUUUCCUUUUCUAUGUUUUAGAUCUUUUCCUAUUUCAUGUUGUAUUAGGUUUUGGAUAAUUUCAUUUUUCCUAUUCCUUGUAACUCCUAUAUAAGAGAACACUUUGAUUGAGUAAUAAUAGAUAGACACACACGAAAAUAUUCAGUCUAAAAACCCUUCGUUCACAACACCCCUUACCCGAUAGGAUAAGGAAAAAAUUACACACAUGGACACUUUAUGUCUUUGCAAUGACACAAUAAGACACUUUCUACUUGGUACACACUUUAUGUGUGGUGUUUGACAGAUAUACCCUUUAACCACGUAGAGCAUUCUCGUUGAUUCACCAAAACAUUUACUAUUAUUUUUUCUAUUGAUUUAUAUUUUGAAUUUUAAAUUGUAAAAUCAAAAGCACUUUCUCAAUUGAGUUGCUAAAUCCCUAACCCCAUUAUGUCUCGUUCCCAAAGACGACGAUUCAAUGUUUGAACCCAAUUGAUCAUGUGAACACUCAGAACAAAAUCCAAACAAAAUCAAAUCUGUCUAAACUUUCCCAAUUAUGUUCAUUCUCCACCGUUUAAUUUUUUGUCCCUUUCGUCGGACUCCAUCAAAACCAAAACCUUUAAUCAUCUUCUUUGUCUAAAGCACUUCGUUUCUCGCCAGCUCGUGCUCCGUAAGAUUACAGUUCUUCGCAUCACAGUCGCUCAUCUAUCGCCGACGGGAUGAGCUCAGACCAGAUUGAAGUUCUUAAUCUUG
RNAcentral lists this long non-coding RNA (2300 nucleotides) under Brassica napus (rape). Its description in RNAcentral is "long non-coding RNA (BNAP_LNC000829)". The record is from RNAcentral. Lineage: Eukaryota; Viridiplantae; Streptophyta; Magnoliopsida; Brassicales; Brassicaceae.